GAAGCACAGGGAGACCACGCAGGCUUCGUACACACAGGGCGGAGGCGGGAUUCGAGCCCCCGACGCUGAAAGUGCGAGGAAAACGUGCUAACCACUUAGCCCCACCCCCCUGCUGAUUAAUUAUGUGUCUAUCUAUCCAUCUAUUAAUCGUUCUAGCAGGAGAAAUGACCAGGGCCUGUUUUGCAGAUAGUGGCCUGCCUGAGAGAAUCCUGUGAAGGCUGCAAGGUUAAACAUUCCUCCGUCUUCUGAACAGCUCGUUACUGAAUGUCUCCAUACGUUUCAUUGACAGAGGUCUCACCUAAUGGACUUACAGCCCAGUGAGUUAUUUCAUUAUCAGGACAGCAGGACAGCUGCUGACAAAGCAGACACACUCAGCUGGAUGAUACCCAGAACCUCAUUGUUCAGAUGGGUUUGUUCAUGAAAGAUGGGCUUGUCUGGGCUUGCCUCUCCUGACAGAUCUUGUUGUCCAGGCUUCCGCAAUUGCAGCCACUACUGGAGAUCUUAAUCAAGGUUUCGGGUGGAUGGAAGAGACUGCCGUGACAAGUGUUUAAGAAACAUUUUUCCUUUCCCAGCCUAAUGUGGUGUGUUACAGCGAACGGUCUUCUGGCCAACCUGCAAUUAGAGUGCUACUUCAGGUCAUCGCAGUAAUUGAGAGAAACUUCACAUGAGAGCGUUGCAAUCUCACCAUGGACAAAAUGUCUCUUGACAUUUAAAGCCAACGGUUGAGGGUGAGCGGUGUCAUUUGCCUCAGCUACCAAUGAAACUUUUAUGUACACACACACACAUACACACCAAACGGUUUACGGAGGGUUCUCGGGAAUGUGUGGGUUUCACACAAAAACUUUGGUGACAAAUGCGAUCGGAACAGAGACAUUCUUGGGGAUUCAGCACACAUUUCCCCCUCGAUUUCUCUCUAAACAGAUUUGUUUUUGCAACUCCCUUGGGAGCGCAAUUCCUUUGGGGGAUUUAUAAUGUUCUUGUGUUUUCUUUGCUCAGUCAGAGUUGAUCCAAACCAUCAUAAAGUUUAUGAGAUUGCCACUUACCACAGUAGGAAGAUGGGAAAGUAACGUCUUCAGAAAACAAAAAGGAAAAAAAAAAAAGAAAGAAAAAAAAAAAGAAGACAAAUUCAACUCUGCCUCAAGCGUGAUGAACGAUGGAGUUGGAAUAUGAGCCUGGAAUAAAACACAGCUUAUAUACUUUGCCGAGCUGCUCAGAACAGGUGUUAUCCUGCCUAGCUCAUUAUAUCCGGGUGGUCUAAGGAUAUAAUGAUUCAGGAUGCUGGGUUCUCCUGUUUCCUGGUGGUGCCGUUCAGGGUGUAUUCCCAGCUCACCAGCAGUGUUCCCAGAACAGGCUCUGGAUCCACCAACACCCUGACUGGCAUAUGGUGGUCACUGAAGAUGAAUGCAUGAUGACUCAUCAGUCUAGUCUAGAUUUAGUUGAUGAAAAAACCACAUCAAUUUCCAUCAAGAAAAAGGAAACAUUUUAGUCAGUGAGAACGAACCGAUUUGGUGUUUUAUCAUCCUUGCAUUUCCCCAAUUUCUUUUUGCUAUUAUGGGCUUCCUAAAGUCUUUGUCCUUCUGCUGAAAUCAUACGGUUACAACCGUGUGUCCAAAACGCAGCAGCUCUGUUAUAGGGAACUGGAGGCAUUCAAUAACUCUAGUGAGCACGUUUAUUAUGUUGCAUACAGCUUAUAAAAGUCAAUUAAUUCAGUGACUUUGGUGGGGUGUCAUCUGAUAUGCUAUUUCUUGCUAGCAAAAUGGUGCCUCUGGUUGUUAAUAUUACAAUUUAGGAGUUUGACACCAUCUCCAACGAAAUUAACAAUGCACCACUGACAUGAAUGGGUCAGAAAAUAACCGUGUUAUGGCACACCCCACACCAGUGCUUUUUCUGUCACGUUCUAUGCUUCUAAUAUGCAAUGUGAUGUACACUGUUGAGGAAAAGAUGCCCAGAAGGAAGGGGAGGUGAAAGGUACAGGCUGGGAUAAGUCAGACCUAAUAGACUGAUGACAUUUCCAAUGAUUGUGUGCAGAUAAGAGGUCAUCCUCAUCAUCCGUCACUGUCUUCUAUGUCUUCAUUAAACAGAUUUUUCCUACAUUAGUGCCAGCUCAGCAAGUCCUCUCAUGAGCAAUGCUUAUUUUCUUUGAGUCCUACAGAGACCAUGUGGCUUCACACAUCCCAGGGUGUUGAA
Long non-coding RNA from Ictalurus punctatus (channel catfish), 2187 nucleotides. RefSeq lists it as uncharacterized. The transcript is spliced from 3 exons. Lineage: Eukaryota; Metazoa; Chordata; Actinopteri; Siluriformes; Ictaluridae. The record is from RefSeq and is a predicted model, not a curated record.